CGUAGGUGGCAAGCGUUACUCGGAAUCACUAGGCGUAAAGCGCAGGUAGGAGGUUUGGUAAGUCUGUUGUGAAAGCUCCCGGCUCAACUGGGAGAGGUCAACGGAAACUACCAGGCUAGAGUGUGGUAGAGGUAGCUGGAAUUCCCGGUGUAGCGGUGAAAUGCGUAGAUAUCGGGAGGAAUACCUAUGGCGAAAGCAGGCUACUGGACCAUCACUGACUCUGAUCUGCGAAAGCUAGGGGAGCAAACAGGAUUAGAUACCCUGGUAGUCCUAGCCCUAAACGAUGCUCAUUAGGUGUGGGAGGUAUCGACCCCUUCCGCGCCGUAGCUAACGCAUUAAAUGAGCCGCCUGGGGAGUACGGCCGCAAGGUUG
RNAcentral lists this ribosomal RNA (372 nucleotides) under uncultured organism. Its description in RNAcentral is "bacterial SSU rRNA". It matches the Rfam family "Bacterial small subunit ribosomal RNA", at positions 526 to 896 of the family's 1533-position model. The record is from RNAcentral.